UUUCUACUUCCAGUAUGGCGGCUGGGACUUGCGGAGGAGGACAACUUCUUCUAGAUUCUCUCCAGAAAACCACCGGAAGCCAACAGCUGUAAUAAAACACCACCACGGCAAACUGGAUUAGGACGAAUACAGAGAACGACAGCGCAACCAGCGUCUUCCAGUGAGGUUCCCCCGAAGCACAGCAGCAGUGUGAUGCGCGGGGAGCCGCAGUGAAGAAGAAACUCCCCAGAUUUUUCCGCGUCUCUCUCCGCUCUGACUGUCAGUUAGCCGGCUAGCUGCUAGCUAGCUCACCUUUGCGCUUGCGUUCGCGGUGCGGGACUGUUGGUAGCCAAUGACGCCUCGGCUUGCUGGUUUUAUUUGCUACUGGAGACAGGUAUGGCAUAUCGCUUCCACUCGGUAAGCGAACUGGUUGAGAAGGGUGGGGAGAAAACAUUGGAGGACUUGAAUGAUAACUUUGGAAGUGCUCAUUAGCCUAGCCUAGCAUAGCCUAGCUGGUUGAACGCCAGAGACGUUGGUCGAGAGUUUGAGAUAAGCAUUUUUGCUGUAAAUGACGAUUUACUAAUCCCCUGAAUUUUGGCGGUUGAGUGUUUUGAGGCACAAACCCCCAUCGGACUGGCCUUUACCGACCCAAGGGGGUGUUUCUGGCUCUCCGGCUCUGCUAGGUGUCGUUAGCGGUCUCGUAGGUGCACUCUGGAGGGAGUGGUGACCCGACGUGAGAUGCCAAAAUAAGGCUCCCUGUAUCAGGGUAACAAGGUCACCCCGAUUAUCAUGUGCCGUUUUGACGAACAGCAGAUGACACUCGAUUAAAGUGCGUCUGGACCGGCUUGUUGUUAGCUUGCUGCGGGCAGGUAAAAGCAUCACAGCUCGUAAAAAAGGCGCAAUAGUUCAGCAAAUGUAGGGAAUAAACAGGUGGGUUUAUUUAUUUGGAGGAGCUUCUGUUGUUUUCCGCGACGAAAGAUAAACUUUGAGUGGUUUUACUGCCCAGCUUCACUGCUUGAAUAGUUUGAUGGACGUGAGGGGCUGUUUGCCAGGCUGUCAGUGCUAUAAUCAGUCAUGUAUGUCUUGACACAUGGCACCUUGGUCUGUACAUAGUGUUUGCUGUCAGAUUUAAGCGUCGUUAUGUAGCUUUAGAGGGGAGUCAUUGAAAAAGGAAUGUCUUGUCUUUUUAUACAUGUUUGGUUUGUUUUUAAUUUAACUUUUUCUCAAACGCAGGGCAGUCGAGUUGAGUCAAAGUGCAGUCCCGAGAGCGUACAGGGGACAAUGCUUAUCAGUUAGUGCCUAGAAGAUUACAGAACUUGGAGAUCUGCCUGUAUACAGGCCGCAGAUAUUGUAGAUUAUUCUUUUUUUUAGAGGGGAUGCACCAAAACCCUGCCAAUCUGGAUCAGGAAAACCUCUCCAUUGUGUCUGGUUGGAGUAACACACUCAAGCCAAAAUCAAUGCCUUCAGCACUGGCCGUGUUCACCUGCCGACCCAACUCGCACCCAUUCCAGGAGCGGCAUGUGUACCUGGACGAGCCAGUCAAGAUCGGAAGGUCUGUGGCUCGCUGCCGACCGGCCCAGAACAACGGCACCUUCGACUGCAAGGUGCUGUCCAGGAAUCAUGCUCUUGUGUGGUUCGACCACAAGACCGGGAAGUUCUACCUUCAGGACACUAAAAGCAGCAAUGGGACGUUCAUCAACAGCCAGAGACUGAGCCGCGGGUCCGAGGAGAGUCCACCCUGCGAGGUUCUGUCGGGCGACAUCAUUCAGUUUGGGGUCGAUGUCACCGAGAACACGCGCAAAGUCACCCAUGGCUGCAUCGUGUCAACAAUCAAACUGUUUCUACCGGAUGGGAUGGAGGCCCGCAGACGAAGCGAUGUCAUCCAGACUCCAUUACCACUACCUAUAGACAAGGUGGCAGCCAACACUCCCAGUAUGUACUCUCAGGAACUGUUCCAGCUCUCCCAGUAUUUACAGGAGGCCUUACACAGAGAGCAGAUGUUGGAGCAGAAGCUGGCCACUCUGCAGCGGCUCCUGUCCACCACUCAGGAGGCUUCGGAGAGCAGCUGGCAGGCUCUGAUAGAUGAGGACCGGCUGCUGUCCAGGCUGGAAGUGAUGGGCAGUCAGUUACAGGCCUACUCUAAGUCGCAGACAGAGGAAGGGAUCCGUAAGGAGCUCCUGGCUCUUCAGGAGGACAAACACAACUACGAGACCACAGCGAAGGAGUCCCUGAGGAGAGUCCUGCAGGAGAAGAUUGAGGUGGUCCGGAAGCUCUCUGAGGUUGAGCGGUCGCUGAGCAACACGGAGGACGAGUGCACCCACCUGAAGGAGAUGUCUGAGAGGGGCCAGGAGGAGCUGCAGGAGCUGGCCAACAAGUACAACGCUGCCGUCAACGAGAUCAAGGAGCUCACCGACAAGAUCAAGGCGGCGGAGGGAAGGCAGGAGGAGCUGACACUGCAGGGAGCGACGGAGAAACGGGAGCUGGAGAUGCGGAUCGAAGAGAUGGAGGAGAAGGAGCAGGUUCUGCAGGCCCGCAUCGAGGCUCUGCAGGCCGACAACGACUUCACAAACGAGAGACUGGCCGCCCUCCAGGUGCGGUUAGAACAGCUGCAGGAGAAAAGCAACAGUAUUGAUGUCUACCCUGGAUCGGUAGAGGAGCCUGUGGAAGUCAAACAGAGCCUGACUGAGAACCGGGACGAGGACGAGGCGGAAACAGACACCGAUGAUGGUGCAGUUGGUGAAGAUGGAGAGAACGAUGACAACUGUCAUGUCAACAGUGGAGAAGACUCGACUAGAAUCCCACAGUUGAUUGAGUGUCCGCCCGUCAAGCAGCUGAAGGAGAACGUCUGCUCUUCGAUACACAAACUGGCCAACUUUGAUGAAGUGAUGGAUGCCCACUUGCAGAACAACCAGGCGCCAGAAGACGACCUGCUGGCCAGUCCCGAUCGCCUCAAAGGAAACCAGAUGGACGCCAAAGAGUCCGACAUGUCCGACACGCUGAGUCCCAGCAAAGACCGGAGCAGCGACGACACGUCAGACGGCAACAUGAACGACCAGGAGCUGAACGAACCCCAGAACAGAGUCGCUCUCCUCAAAGCGGAGUUGAACCGGGCCGGUUUGGACGCUGGAGACACGGAGAACGUCAUCAGCUACCUCCACAGAGAACUUCUGGAAGCCCAGGACUUGGCCAACACCGGGAAGCAGAAAUGUCUGGAACUACAAGCUCUGUUGGAGGAGGAGAGGAGGAGUAACUCCAAGCUGACCGAGGAGUCAACCAAACAGAUCCAGUACCUGCAGACUCAGCUCGGGAAGCUGCAGGCCGACAUGGAGGCCCUGAAGGAGCAGAGGGAGAGCACCAUCUGCAGCACCAGGGAGGAUCUGUACUCCGCCCAGGAGGAGAUUCUCGUCCUGCGACACGCCAUGGAAACGGCCACAGCUGAGCGUGAGCGCGAGAUCGCCGCCUUGCAGGCAGACCUGGGCGGCGUGCGCACGGAGCUGGAGCAUUGGAGGAGCACGGCGGCCAAGUACGAGGAGGAGAUCAGCCGGCUGCAGGAGGCCUUUGCUCAGCAGCAGCAGCAGCAGAACACGGCCAGCCAGCUGCAAGAGGAGUGUGCAACUUUGCAGCAGCGCUGUGCGUCUCUGCAACAGGACUGUGACGGUCUGAGAGCCGAGCGGAGAGACCUGACGGACAAACUGCAGCACCUGGAGGCGGAGCUCAGCAGUACCAGGGAGCAGAGUCUGGUCCUCAGCAGCAGUCUGGAGUCUCUGGAGAAGCGGAAAGAGGUUCUGCAGGACCAACUGGGUUCUCUGGAGAACCAGCACCUGGAGGACGCCAGCCGGCUGAAGACGCAGCUGGACCAGGCCCAGGCCCGAACACACACCCUGCAGAAAGAGUACGAAGACACUCAGUCUCAGCUGUUUGACCUGCGGCGGCGCUACGAGAAGACGGAGCAGGAGAAGCUGAACAUCCACCAGGAGCUGGAGCAGUGCCGCAGCAGCCUGAAGCUGCUGCAGGACAAGACCAGCUCUCCAUCCAUAUUGCAGCCUGUCCAAGCCAUAUUCAUGGGCCUUGUCCUGGCUCUGCUGUACUGGUGUUUCGGCCAGUUGUGGUAGAAAGGUACACACCGACAUGACAUGAGUCUGUCCGCUGCCUCCAUCUGUCCGUCUGUCUCUGUGACCUCUGGAAGGAAAGUCUGCUGAGGGUCACUGACUCGGCUGGGAAAACCGAACCCUGAACAGAUCAGCAGGACUUUGACUUCACCUCCUGAACUUCCUCUCUUCAUCUUCAUCUUCAUCAUGUGUGAGCAGCUCUGACCGCAUGGCCGUCAUUCACACUAAGAUCCUCCAGGGGGCAGCAGACUCCCAGCACACAUGGACCAUUUAUUUAAAGGGAUACCGCCACGCACUGUAAAAGCUACUUCAACCUUAAUAAAAUUACUACAAUUUAAAGCAAAUGUAACGUAACACUUUUCAAAAUAAAAGUCUCAGUUAGAAAUGACUUCAUUGUGAAAUAUUCUCAGAUUUCAGUGAGUUCAAUCAUGAAACAUGACUAAAGGAAACAUCCUUCACAUUACGACCGAAUUGUUUCUUGAUUGUAAUAAUGAUAAUCUAGUUAUUGUUGGUCCAGUCAAAGCCCAGACGUGAUGAGGCCAAACUCCUGGUAUCUCUUUAAAUCACUAACAGCUCCUCCGUUCACCGCUGCGCUCUCCUUCAUCCUGUUUUUAUUUUCUGCAGGAUUUGUUGGUUCAUUAAUCACUUUUCUUUGCUGCAUGCCGUUUGCUGUUUGUUUGCAGGUUUUUUUGUUUUGCUCUCAAACUGGGUUUUGUUUCCUGCAGCCAUUGGCAGAUUCAUUGUCAUUUCCAUCGUUUGCUUUUUGCUUUUAUUUGGUGCAGCUUUCUCUUUUUCUGCUUCUGUUCUUUAAUUAUUUCUUUUUUUUGUCUCCUGCAGUCCUAAAAGUGAUAAAUAUGGUUUUCCUUUUUGUAUAUUUACGUUGUUUUCAAUAAAUUUAUUUGCAUUCCUCCUCCUUCUUAACCAUCUGAGGGGAAGAUCUCAUUAAGAAGCCUUUCCUUCAUGUCACAAUGUUUGCAGAGCGCUGCCUGUUCUCAGCAGCUGCACAUCUGUGGUGCGUUUGAACAGAUGACAGGAGAAUUGAAAGGUUGACUCGGUCUUGAACAGCGUUCAGGUAUCCGUGAUAAACGAGCCGGGCCUGGACGGUGCCGAGGUGCAGACAGAUUUUUAUGAAGCGGAGAGAAACGACCGUUCUGGUCGAGGAGAAGAUGGAGAAAAUUCAGCGCGUUUAGGAGUCCAAACCCGCUGGAAGAGAAACGAGGAUCUGGAUCAGUUCCUACCAGGACAGCAGACACCUGCAGCUGAUUGAGACAUUUUAUUUCUUACAGCUUUAUUCGCUUCAGUUCUCAAGUCACCAGAACGAGAGAACAUGUUCAGAGCUGGUGUUAUUUAGGUUUUAAACUCUAAAUUAUCAUAAAAUUAGCUCCAAUAGGCCUGUCACUAUAAAUUGUCCCAGAAAUUAUUGCAAAAAACUAAAAUCUUGUUGUUUUGGGACCAAUUUCAAGUAAUCUAAUGGCAGGAACACAAAGAUCUCAAAGAUCAAUAAACUUUAAAUUCUACGGAACAUUUGACGCUGGAACUGGAAGACAUUUUAAUGAUCCAAAAUAAAUAAAUGAACAAACAAAAUGAACUAUGGUGUGUCUGUAAGCAGCAGUGUCCUUCAGAAUAAGGGCCGGUUGAGACCAAAGCACCAGAAUCAAGACUUUGGUCAUCCAGUUUUUGGUAGAAGGAGAGAAACGAUAAACCAGGCGCAUGGAAACUAUUGAGUUUGUUUUAAUUUAUCAUGUGAUUAUUUAUUGCGACAAGCGUAGCAGGAAACAAAAAGCUCAAUCCCUUUUCAGCUCUUCAAUGUCCUGAGAUUAUUUUGGCUUUGCAGAGAAACUCCCAACAGAUUCGCAGUUCAUCAGCACAAGUAGAAAAACUGCGUCUGCAAGAAUCACAGCCACCAAACAGACGUGGUUCUGUUCACAGAAUCGCUGUCCAAACCGGAAAAUUUAAACCACAAAAUCCAUCAAAUAAAAACACAAAAUCGUAUCAAAUCUGUUGAUUAAAGAUCCAAAACAUAAAAAUGGAUUCUGACCUUUUAUUAAAAGAAAAAGAGGAAAUCUAAACAUUUUCUGGAGGCAUCAGUCAUUUUUAAUUUUCCUGGCCAAAUUUUUAUUGUUCUUGACUUUGAUUAAAAAUGUCAUUUCAAGUGCCUAAAUUGGCCCACGGGCCACCCUUUGGACACCCUUGAUUUAUAAAGCAUGGCUCAUAUUUGUCAGCUGGAUUGUGACCCGGUACCACUUCAGGUCCAAUGAAAAGAUUAGAAACAUGGUUUUAAUUUAAAAACAGAGAAUAAAUAUUAUCUUUUGGACUGACUUUUACCUCUUCUCUCAUCCUUCAGGGUGAUUUUCUGACGCUCUCUUUGGUCCUUGUUGGGUCUGGUUCUGCUGACUAACCGGGUUUGGUUCGUUUUUUGUUUUUUUCCC
Poeciliopsis prolifica (blackstripe livebearer) is the source of this 6517-nucleotide RNA transcript. It is a transcript of the gene named sarcolemma associated protein a, with no coding region annotated. The record is from RefSeq and is a predicted model, not a curated record. The transcript is spliced from 26 exons. NCBI's taxonomy places the organism in Eukaryota, Metazoa, Chordata, Actinopteri, Cyprinodontiformes, Poeciliidae.